GACGGAGGAUGCAAGCGUUAUCCGGAAUUAUUGGGCGUAAAGCGUCCGUAGGUGGUUAUAAAAGUCUGUUGUUAAAGCCCACAGCUCAACUGUGGAUCGGCAAUGGAAACUGUAUGACUUGAGUGUGGUAGGGGUAGAGGGAAUUCCUAGUGUAGCGGUGAAAUGCGUAGAUAUUAGGAAGAACACCAGUGGCGAAGGCGCUCUACUGGGCCAUAACUGACACUGAUGGACGAAAGCUAGGGGAGCGAAAGGG
This 253-nucleotide ribosomal RNA is filed under the name uncultured bacterium. Its description in RNAcentral is "partial 16S ribosomal RNA". It matches the Rfam family "Bacterial small subunit ribosomal RNA", at positions 524 to 776 of the family's 1533-position model. The record is from RNAcentral.